GACGGAGCAACGCCGCGUGAGUGAUGAAGGUUUUCGGAUCGUAAAGCUCUGUUGUUAGGGAAGAACAAGUGCAAGAGUAACUGCUUGCACCUUGACGGUACCUAACCAGAAAGCCACGGCUAACUACUGCCAGCAGCCGCGGUAAUACGUAGGUGGCAAGCGUUGUCCGGAAUUAUUGGGCGUAAAGGGCUCGCAGGCGGUUUCUUAAGUCUGAUGUGAAAGCCCCCGGCUCAACCGGGGAGGGUCAUUGGAAAUGGGAAACUUGAGUGCAGAAGAGGAGAGUGGAAUUCCACGUGUAGCGGUGAAAUGCGUAGAGAUGUGGAGGAACACCAGUGGCGAAGGCGACUCUCUGGUCUGUAACUGACGCUGAGGAGCGAAAGCUGGGGAGCGAACAGGAUUAGAUACCCUGGUAGUCCACGCCGUAAACGAUGAGUGCUAAGUGUUAGGGGGUUUCCGCCCCUUAGUGCUGCAGCUAACGCAUUAAGCACUCCGCCUGGGGAGUACGGUCCAAGACUGAAACUCAAAGGAAUUGACGGGGGCCCGCACAAGCGGUGGAGCAUGUGGUUUAAUUCGAAGCAACGCGAAGAACCUUACCAGGUCUUGACAUCCUCUGACAACCCUAGAGAUAGGGCUUUCCUUCGGGGACAGAGUGACAGGUGGUGCAUGGUUGUCGUCAGCUCGUGUCGUGAGAUGUUGGGUUAAGUCCCGCAACGAGCGCAACCCUUGAUCUUAGUUGCCAGCAUUCAGUUGGGCACUCUAAGGGACUGCCGGUGACAAACCGGAGGAAGGUGGGGAUGACGUCAAAUCAUCAUGCCCCUUAUGACCUGGGCUACACACGUGCUACAAUGGACAGAACAAAGGGCUGCGAGACCGCAAGGUUUAGCCAAUCCACAAAUCUGUUCUCAGUUCGGAUCGCAGUCUGCAACU
RNAcentral lists this ribosomal RNA (927 nucleotides) under Bacillus sp. HS 5 I. RNAcentral's name for it is "bacterial SSU rRNA". It matches the Rfam family "Bacterial small subunit ribosomal RNA", at positions 385 to 1312 of the family's 1533-position model. The record is from RNAcentral. Lineage: Bacteria; Bacillati; Bacillota; Bacilli; Caryophanales; Bacillaceae.